Molecule: long non-coding RNA, 1627 nt
Organism: Phasianus colchicus (ring-necked pheasant)
Lineage: Eukaryota; Metazoa; Chordata; Aves; Galliformes; Phasianidae
Source: Ensembl
AAGCUAUAUGAGGGAUCAGGUGGCACACAGUUUUCUUUCUGCUUUUCCCCUACCUAGAAGGUGUUUGGCUGUGCUGAAAGCUCUGGGAUUUACCAGAGCUUUGUCUGUCCUAUCUUGUUCGGAGUGGCACUGCUGUAAGGAAGAAGAUGAAGAGAUGGGAAAGAGCCUUGUUGUUUCCUGAACAGCAGAGUUACAGCAGUCUCCUGUGGAUUUGUGUCCUUUGGCCUUUCCAUCCUACUUCUGUUUCUGCCAUAACAACCCCAGCUCUUUUCACACUGCUCUUCCUGUGACUCUGCAACACAGAAGAUAACAUAAUCCUGCAGCUGGGACAGAGCUGUCAAGUGCUUGUUGGCCAGUCAGGACAUGCAUGCUGUCUGCCCAGCUGAUCUGGGCUGCUAUGCUAAGGAUGAGAAAGUGCACACAGUUCUUCAUAUGGAUUUCCCCACAGACUGGAAGCACCAGAAUUUUGCAAGAGUUUCUGUAGUGUGGAACUAUGACUACAGAGACCAUGGUGAUUCUGGCUCCAUUACAGCCAGCUAUGCCCUAUAUGAACUUGGAUAUGUGAAAGCCCCCACCUCUGUCCUUUUCAAAGUAGAAACAGACCUACAUUUGAUCCUUGAAAUCUAAUAUUCCCACAUUUCUCUGGAACUUCCCCCUCUGGUUUGUAGGGUCACCAUAAAUUGGCCCCACUUUGGACUUCCCUCUCACAGAGAGUGGCUGCUGAAUCAAGCAGAAUGAAAUGUUGAUGGUAUUUUUCCAAUACAUUGAGCUUUUCUUAGGAACCACUUCUCAGAAUGUAAUUCCAAGCAAGGCUGAAAAUGUAGUGAGGAAAGUAGUGUGUAGGAAUGUUAAUUAUUGCCCAAACAGUAAUGCUGGGAGUUUGUAUUGCAUUUCUUCAGAAAUCUUAGAUCCUGUUGACCUUCUUCAAACACUCCCAACGAGGAAGCGGAUGCCUCAAAACCCUAUUAUUAAAAGCUGCUUGAAAAAUCAGUGAUUAGGCAAUAUAGUAUGCCCUGUAUUGUGAAGACUCUGGGAGUUUUCAAAAGUUAGAUACUGUUUGGCCAACUGAUUGACUUUCCAGCUACCACACAAAUAACAUGAAACAAGCCAGAAGAGAUGCUGUUUGGUUGUGGUUAAGGUGUGUGGAAGAAGCUGGGUGUAUUGGGACGGUGGAGAGUUUUGAGAAUGUCAUCAGUUCUGGAAGGAUGUGUAAGGGAAAGGUGCAGAUCAUGGAGUCUGUAAGCAGAAUCUCAAAGUACUGCAUGCACCAGGGUUGGUGUGCUGGGAGGGGUGAAGGUGUGUAGGGUGCAAGUUCUUAAAUUGUGAAAAGAGGUAUGGUGAUGCUUGGAACAGCUUGGGUGCAGACAAUAGAAGUGUAAGAUUAAAUACUGGGUUUCUUGCUCUAGAAAAGUAGCUGCUGCUCAGUUUCAUCAGAUUUUUAAAUGACUGUGUCUUAAGCAGUCGGUGCAGCGUAACUGACCCAUGUAUAAUAACACUUCUGCUUUAAUAUACAUGAAGGCUUACAGGCAGUAGAGCUAAUCUCCCAAAAUAUAAACCUUUGUCUUCUGACUUACCUCAGAUUCCUUUAAUUCAAGGCUCUAGAAGCUAUUGCAAUUAGCUUCUACUC